RNAcentral lists this transfer RNA (72 nucleotides) under Sphaerochaeta sp. Its description in RNAcentral is "tRNA-OTHER". It matches the Rfam family "tRNA". Rfam says of the family: Transfer RNA (tRNA) molecules are approximately 80 nucleotides in length. Their secondary structure includes four short double-helical elements and three loops (D, anti-codon, and T loops). Lineage: Bacteria; Pseudomonadati; Spirochaetota; Spirochaetia; Spirochaetales; Sphaerochaetaceae. The record is from RNAcentral.
GGGUCCGUAAGCAAUGGUAGCGCGGGGUGAUCCAAAGCACCCCGAAUGCAGGUUCGAAUCCUGUCGGGUCCA